This 623-nucleotide small RNA is filed under the name Pan troglodytes (chimpanzee). Its description in RNAcentral is "retained intron". The record is from RNAcentral. Lineage: Eukaryota; Metazoa; Chordata; Mammalia; Primates; Hominidae.
AUUCACAUAGGAAGGCUCGCCUACUUGUUGGCAGUGUUCAGACAUGCUGCUGAGCUCGUCUUUAAUUUGACUUUCUCAUUCAAGGUUUCACCAAGGGACAUUAGUGGCUGUGUGUGCUCAUCUGUUGUCUGUGGGGACUGGGUUCCUAGGCUUGAGGUGCUCAGUCUGGAGAGUUUUCCUGGUUUUAUUUUCGCAUUUCCCUGUCCUCCCUUCUGUGUGGUCGGUUGUGUGAUUGGCAGGCUGCUUUGCUCACCAGAGGUGUCUUUCCAGGCUGCCCUGAUGAUCUCACUCAUUUGGAAGUAUUAUUCUGUCCCUGUGGCUGUCGUGCCGAGUAAAUGGAUAACCCCUCUAGACCGCCUGGUAGCCUUUCCUACUAGAGUAGCAGGUGGUGUUGGAAUUACCUGUUGGAUUUUAGUCUGUAACAAAGUUGUCGCUAUUGUGCUUCAUCCGUUCAGCUGAACAGGAGGAUGGAUACAGCCGCGAGGCUAAAAAACGGAUUUCCUCUUACUAGCUUAAAAUCUGAUUUACACUGUUUUGUUUUUUAAGAAACAAAAGUGCACAGUUUAGAUUUUUUUUUGUUGAAUAUGUUUGUUCUUGGACUUUAUGAGAGCGUCUUAGAAGAA